RNAcentral lists this ribosomal RNA (299 nucleotides) under uncultured bacterium. RNAcentral's name for it is "partial 16S ribosomal RNA". It matches the Rfam family "Bacterial small subunit ribosomal RNA", at positions 334 to 650 of the family's 1533-position model. The record is from RNAcentral.
UGGGCCUACGGGACGCAGCAGUGGGGAAUAUUGCACAAUGGGGGAAACCCUGAUGCAGCAACGCCGCGUGAGUGAAGAAGUCAUUCGUGAUGUAAAGCUCUAUCAGCAGGGAAGAAAAUGACGGUACCUGAGUAAGAAGCCCCGGCUAACUACGUGCCAGCAGCCGCGGUAAUACGUAGGAUGCGAGCGUUAUCCGGAAUUACCGGGUGUAAAGGGAGCGCAGGCGGGACUGCAAGUUGGAUGUGAAACACCGCAGCUUAACUGCGGAGCUGCCUCCAAAACUGUAGUUCUUGGGUGGA